This 336-nucleotide unclassified non-coding RNA is filed under the name soil metagenome. RNAcentral's name for it is "partial contains 5.8S ribosomal RNA, internal transcribed spacer 2, and large subunit ribosomal RNA". The stretch from base 1 to 120 matches the Rfam family "5.8S ribosomal RNA", at positions 35 to 154 of the family's 154-position model. The record is from RNAcentral.
GAUGAAGAACGUAGCGAAAUGCGAUAAGUAAUGUGAAUUGCAGAAUUCAGUGAAUCAUCGAAUCUUUGAACGCACAUUGCGCCCGCCAGUAUUCUGGCGGGCAUGCCUGUUCGAGCGUCAUUUCAACCAUCAAGCCCCAGGCUUGUGUUGGGGACCUGCGGCUGCCGCAGGCCCUGAAAACCAGUGGCGGGCUCGCUGUCACACCGGGCGUAGUAGAUUUUAUCUCGCUCAGGGCGUGCUGCGGGUUCCGGCCGUUAAAAAGCCUUUUUUACCCAAGGUUGACCUCGGAUCAGGUAGGAAGACCCGCUGAACUUAAGCAUAUCAAUAAGCCGAGGA